This 270-nucleotide ribosomal RNA is filed under the name uncultured archaeon. RNAcentral's name for it is "partial 16S ribosomal RNA". It matches the Rfam family "Archaeal small subunit ribosomal RNA", at positions 477 to 747 of the family's 1478-position model. The record is from RNAcentral.
CAGCACCUCAAGUGGUCAGGAUGAUUAUUGGGCCUAAAGCAUCCGUAGCCGGCGCUGUAAGUUUUCGGUUAAAUCUGUACGCUCAACGUACAGGCUGCCGGGAAUACUGCAGCGCUAGGGAGUGGGAGAGGUAGACGGUACUCGGUAGGAAGGGGUAAAAUCCUUUGAUCUAUUGAUGACCACCUGUGGCGAAGGCGGUCUACCAGAACACGUCCGACGGUGAGGGAUGUAAGCUGGGGGAGCAAACCGGAUUAGAUACCCGUGUAGUCC